UGAUAUCGAUAGGUUAAGGUCAUUCAUGAGGAGAGGUGUUGGGGCGGAGUCCCAGGUGUAGCUACUAUUGCCCUAUCAAUUCUGUAGUCACCUCUUUCUGAACAUUGGUUAGUUCUUCACGAGCGAUACUAUACUCUUGCUGCCUCUUAGUAUUCUCCGUUUAUUCUAAUAAGUGUAUGUGGACACACGCAGACAGUAACGGAACAAGCACAACAGUUCUCUUUGUGUUUUAGUGGGUAUAUGUGGAUGUACAGAAAGUGGUCUCUGUUUAUUAACGGGUUACAUGUUGCUGCAAUGAAAAUGUAUAUGGUGAUUUUCAUUCUGGUUUGCAGGGUAGUACAUGGAGCAUAGAAACUGAGUCGAAAGUCUGUCUUUUGUGCAGGAAUUUACUGCAGGUCUGAUCCCUUGCUCGUGCUCUCUGCUUGUCCUCACUCUGUAGACCUUUCCUUUGCUCGUAGCCAUACAUUUUAUUCAGAGUGCUGUCAAGACGCAUCUCCUCUGCCUAUAUGGCGGGCAGAGGGCCUAAGCUCUAGGUGAGCUCCUCCUCCACCCUACAAAUGUUGUAUUUGUUAUGAUGUUUCCAUUGUUAAUGUCUGCAAUCUAAUGCCUUGCUCUGCUAUUUUUAUUUCUAAUCUCAACAUACUCUGUACAGUGAUGAGUAUACCAUUUAACAUGUGCAUGAUGUUAAAAUUGUGUGAAUCUAAGGGCCUACAUGCUUCAUAAUCUGUAGCCAAGUUAUUUUAGGACUUUUUAUUUUGUGUGUGCGAGGAGAAAUUGUACUAUCUCUUCAUGAUUCAUCGUUUAUAUAUUAGUUGGAUAGUAUCUCUUUAUUCGGUUCUUGUGACUGACCUGCUGCUUUACUUAUAUGGACAGCUUAAACUGAAAUCAAUGCAUGGUAUUGUUCAAUUCGAAGUGUACUUGACGUGUGCAGAUCUGAGGAUAAAGGGAAGAAGACGGAAUUUAGCUGAGGAGUUGAAUAGGAUCAAGGUUAUUAUUCCACAAUCAUUUGUUGGGUUUAAGGAUAUAAACAACAUGGCUUACGAGGAUUUGGACUGCUGUUCUUUUAGUUCCACUCUUAAAUCUUUUGGUUCUUGAAGGCCUGCACUUUCCUGGUGGAGUAAGAGCAAAAUAAUUCAGAGGCUUUAAAGCUGCUGCACUUUAGUAGUUAGGAUUAAUUCUUUGUUUUGGUUUGAAAUGCUCCCCAAUUCCUCUUAUUUGAUUGAUUCAUCUGAUGGUCAUUUGUCAGGCAAAUAAACAGAAGGCAUAUGUAUUGUUUUGAGUGAAGCCAUCCAUACAAGGCAAUAUAUUAAUUAUCCCAUAUGUGGAAUUCAAGAUAGAGAGAAAUGUUAUUGUUCUUCUGCUAAUUGGUUGCUUGACAAAUGUACUAUAAAUGAUGUUAUUAUUGUACGAGAUAUAGAGAAAUGUUAUUGUUCUUCAAUUAUUGAGAUGAUAGAAGUACUACUUAGCAGUUUUGUCUCUGACCGAACGAAGCUCUCGAGUAAGAAGGGAUGAAUAAGUGAUGGGUCAAACUGGCUGCCAUACGAAUGCUUUGAAAUAUGGCACAUAAGUACUUUCUUUUUCAAACACACAGAA
This 1593-nucleotide long non-coding RNA is filed under the name Triticum aestivum (bread wheat). RNAcentral's name for it is "long non-coding RNA (TAES_LNC007028)". The record is from RNAcentral. Lineage: Eukaryota; Viridiplantae; Streptophyta; Magnoliopsida; Poales; Poaceae.